GGAGGAGUCGGAUAAUUUGGUCAUUCCAAUGGUUUGCUAAACCAUCGCGGUGUAAAAAGCCGCUUGUGGGUUCGAGUCCCACCUCCUCCG
RNAcentral lists this transfer RNA (90 nucleotides) under Patescibacteria group bacterium. RNAcentral describes it as "tRNA-Ser". It matches the Rfam family "tRNA". Rfam says of the family: Transfer RNA (tRNA) molecules are approximately 80 nucleotides in length. Their secondary structure includes four short double-helical elements and three loops (D, anti-codon, and T loops). The record is from RNAcentral.